GCCCCGGUGACGGAAUCGGUAGACGUAGCGGACUUAAAAUUCGCGGCCGAAAGGCGUGCCGGUUCGAGUCCGGCCCGGGGCACCA
RNAcentral lists this transfer RNA (85 nucleotides) under Burkholderiaceae bacterium. RNAcentral's name for it is "tRNA-Leu". It matches the Rfam family "tRNA". Rfam says of the family: Transfer RNA (tRNA) molecules are approximately 80 nucleotides in length. Their secondary structure includes four short double-helical elements and three loops (D, anti-codon, and T loops). The record is from RNAcentral. Lineage: Bacteria; Pseudomonadati; Pseudomonadota; Betaproteobacteria; Burkholderiales; Burkholderiaceae.